CACAGUCGAGGUCGGGGGUGAGAUCCGGCUCCCGUAGGAGUCUGGGCUGAGCCUACCUGCAAUCAAUGUCAGGGAUGAAGUCUGGCUCCCUUAGGAGUUCGGACGAAGUUUACCUGUAAUCGAAGUCGAGGACGGAGCCCGGCUCCCGUAGGAGUCCGGGCAGAGCCUUUUCGUAGUCAAGGUCGGGGAUGAGAUCUGGCUUCCAUAGGAGUCCGGGCUGAGUCUACCUGCAAUCAAAGUCAGGGGUGAAGUCCGGCUCCCUUAGGAGUCCAGACGAAGUUUACCUGUAACUGAAGUCGAGGACGGAGCCCGGCUCCCGUAGGGGUCCGGGCGGAGU
Molecule: long non-coding RNA, 337 nt
Filed under: Elaeis guineensis (African oil palm)
Lineage: Eukaryota; Viridiplantae; Streptophyta; Magnoliopsida; Arecales; Arecaceae
Description: long non-coding RNA (EGUI_LNC065171)
Source: RNAcentral